GUCGAACGAGAGAGAGGGAGCUUGCUUCCUUGAUCGAGUGGCGAACGGGUGAGUAACGCGUGAGGAACCUGCCUCAAAGAGGGGGACAACAGUUGGAAACGACUGCUAAUACCGCAUAAGCCCACGGGUCGGCAUCGACCAGAGGGAAAAGGAGUGAUCCGCUUUGAGAUGGCCUCGCGUCCGAUUAGCUAGUUGGUGAGGUAACGGCCCACCAAGGCAACGAUCGGUAGCCGGACUGAGAGGUUGAACGGCCACAUUGGGACUGAGACACGGCCCAGACUCCUACGGGAGGCAGCAGUGGGGAAUAUUGCACAAUGGGGGAAACCCUGAUGCAGCGACGCCGCGUGGAGGAAGAAGGUCUUCGGAUUGUAAACUCCUGUUGUUGAGGAAGAUAAUGACGGUACUCAACAAGGAAGUGACGGCUAACUACGUGCCAGCAGCCGCGGUAAAACGUAGGUCACAAGCGUUGUCCGGAAUUACUGGGUGUAAAGGGAGCGCAGGCGGGAAGACAAGUUGGAAGUGAAAUCCAUGGGCUCAACCCAUGAACUGCUUUCAAAACUGUUUUUCUUGAGUAGUGCAGAGGUAGGCGGAAUUCCCGGUGUAGCGGUGGAAUGCGUAGAUAUCGGGAGGAACACCAGUGGCGAAGGCGGCCUACUGGGCACCAACUGACGCUGAGGCUCGAAAGUGUGGGUAGCAAACAGGAUUAGAUACCCUGGUAGUCCACACCGUAAACGAUGAUUACUAGGUGUUGGAGGAUUGACCCCUUCAGUGCCGCAGUUAACACAAUAAGUAAUCCACCUGGGGAGUACGACCGCAAGGUUGAAACUCAAAGGAAUUGACGGGGGCCCGCACAAGCAGU
Molecule: ribosomal RNA, 859 nt
Filed under: uncultured bacterium
Lineage: Bacteria
Description: bacterial SSU rRNA
Rfam family: Bacterial small subunit ribosomal RNA
Source: RNAcentral